This 715-nucleotide ribosomal RNA is filed under the name Pseudoalteromonas sp. B10. RNAcentral's name for it is "bacterial SSU rRNA". It matches the Rfam family "Bacterial small subunit ribosomal RNA", at positions 28 to 740 of the family's 1533-position model. The record is from RNAcentral. RNAcentral also lists the same sequence under 1 other name. Lineage: Bacteria; Pseudomonadati; Pseudomonadota; Gammaproteobacteria; Alteromonadales; Pseudoalteromonadaceae.
AGUGAGCGCUGGCGGCAGGCCUAACACAUGCAAGUCGAGCGGUAACAUUUCUAGCUUGCUAUAAGAUGACGAGCGGCGGACGGGUGAGUAAUGCUUGGGAACAUGCCUUGAGGUGGGGGACAACAGUUGGAAACGACUGCUAAUACCGCAUAAUGUCUACGGACCAAAGGGGGCUUCGGCUCUCGCCUUUAGAUUGGCCCAAGUGGGAUUAGCUAGUUGGUGAGGUAAUGGCUCACCAAGGCGACGAUCCCUAGCUGGUUUGAGAGGAUGAUCAGCCACACUGGGACUGAGACACGGCCCAGACUCCUACGGGAGGCAGCAGUGGGGAAUAUUGCACAAUGGGCGCAAGCCUGAUGCAGCCAUGCCGCGUGUGUGAAGAAGGCCUUCGGGUUGUAAAGCACUUUCAGUCAGGAGGAAAGGUUAGUAGUUAAUACCUGCUAGCUGUGACGUUACUGACAGAAGAAGCACCGGCUAACUCCGUGCCAGCAGCCGCGGUAAUACGGAGGGUGCGAGCGUUAAUCGGAAUUACUGGGCGUAAAGCGUACGCAGGCGGUUUGUUAAGCGAGAUGUGAAAGCCCCGGGCUCAACCUGGGAACUGCAUUUCGAACUGGCAAACUAGAGUGUGAUAGAGGGUGGUAGAAUUUCAGGUGUAGCGGUGAAAUGCGUAGAGAUCUGAAGGAAUACCGAUGGCGAAGGCAGCCACCUGGGUCAACAC